This 264-nucleotide long non-coding RNA is filed under the name Cavia porcellus (domestic guinea pig). RNAcentral describes it as "lncRNA (ENSCPOG00000032317.1)". Lineage: Eukaryota; Metazoa; Chordata; Mammalia; Rodentia; Caviidae. The record is from RNAcentral.
CGAGAUGGAAGCUCAUCAGGAGGAAGAGCUGAGCCGUGCAGCGGAGGUUAUGGAAAACCCGUGCAGUUCCUCUCUCCACUCAGGAUCUGAAAAGCCCUAUCAUUUGGUUCCCUGACCUGGAAGGCAGUGUGAGUGACUCCUUGGGUCUCCCAGUUUGAGUCCCCUGCUAAUUCACGGACCAGAACGUAUUUUGGAUUAAUUCUUCAUUUCUCAACACAUGGGAGUUGCUCAACUUACUGCCACCAGCCUGCAAACAACACUGGC